Triticum aestivum (bread wheat) is the source of this 115-nucleotide non-coding RNA. NCBI's taxonomy places the organism in Eukaryota, Viridiplantae, Streptophyta, Magnoliopsida, Poales, Poaceae. The record is from Rfam.
ACCAAUGAUGCUAUGCCCAGCAUUUCAAGGUGCAAAUGGCUGCAGGAUCCUGUUUACAAAAUGAACCUACCUUGAGGCACUGUAUCCACAUGAUAUUCAUGGGCAAGCCUGAGGU